This 1307-nucleotide ribosomal RNA is filed under the name Psorodonotus venosus. RNAcentral describes it as "16S ribosomal RNA". The stretch from base 610 to 1307 matches the Rfam family "Archaeal large subunit ribosomal RNA", at positions 1423 to 2852 of the family's 2987-position model. Lineage: Eukaryota; Metazoa; Arthropoda; Insecta; Orthoptera; Tettigoniidae. The record is from RNAcentral.
UAGAAUAAAUUUAAAGGUGAUUUAGGUUUAAAGAUAAUUAUUUGAAGUAACUUUAUGGGUUUUGUUUUAGUAUAGAAAUAGAAUAAAUUUAUUUAUUUAUAGUUUAUUAGUAUUGUGAAAGAAAGUUGAAAAAUUUUGAAAAUUAUUUUAUAGGGAAGUAGAUUAAUUUUGUACCUUGUGUAUCAGGGUUUAUUAAAAUUGAAAUGAGGAUUUUAUUUUUCCCGAGUUGAAAAGAGCUAAUUUGUUAUGUUGGUUAAUGUGGUAUCAUUAUUAAUAAUAACAAAUUUGUAAUGAAAUGUUAGUCGGUUUUUAAGAUAUCUGGUUCUCUGAGAAAUGAAUUCAAUUCAGUAUUUAUUGAGUAUCUUUUAAAUUUUAGUGUGGGUUAUUUAUUAAAUAUAAUACUUUAAGGGAUAAGCUUUAGAGUAGAGGUUAUAAAUUAUUAUGUUGUGUUUAAAAUUGUAGGCUUUAAAUUAGCCAUCUUUAGAAUAAUGUUAUAAAUUAUUUUAUAUAAAUAUGAUUUUAUAAUAAUGUUAAAUUGUAUAUUGGAGUGAAUUGUUAAAUAAUAGUUUAAUUGUAAUAAUGAUGAAAUUAGUAUAUGUGAAAUGUAAAGUAUUUUCUUUGUUUCAAUUUAUAAAAAGGAACUAGGCAAUUUUAAUAUUCGCCUGUUUAUCAAAAACAUGUCCUUUUGAGUUUAAUUUGAGGUCGGGCCUGCCCCCUGAUGAAAAUUAAAGGGCCGCGGUAUUUUGACCGUGCAAAGGUAGCAUAAUCAUUAGUCUUUUAAUUGAAGGCUGGAAUGAAUGGUUUAACGAAAUAUUAACUGUCUCUUUAUAAUAAAUAUAAUUUAACUUCUGAGUCAAAAGGCUUAGAUGAUUAUAAAAGACGAGAAGACCCUAUAGAUCUUUAUACAUGAAUAUUUUUAUUUUGUUUAGAUUAAUUUUUAAUGAACAUAUUAUUGUAUUUUGUUGGGGUGACAUGAAGAUAAAAAUAACUCUUUAUUAUUAAUACAUUGAUUUAUGAAUAAUUGAUCCAUUAUUAGUGAUUAUAAGAUAAAGUUACCUUAGGGAUAACAGCGUAAUUUUUUUUGAGAGUUCUUAUCGACAAAAAAGAUUGCGACCUCGAUGUUGGAUUAAGGAAUAUGAUUAGGUGUAGAAGUUUAAUUAAUAAGUCUGUUCGACUUUUAAAUCCUUACAUGAUCUGAGUUCAGACCGGCGUAAGCCAGGUCGGUUUCUAUCUUUAUGGAAAUAAGAUGUUUUAGUACGAAAGGACCAAACAUCUAAAAUAAUUUUUUAGGGAUGAUAAAUAUUAAU